GAAAGAAAAGAUUAGGCUCCAAUUUCUAAAACCCUAGCUUCCUCUCCCCCACUCUCGCUCUCGACGCUCAUUUCACUUCUUCUUGCUUCUGUUCUUACUGAAACAAACCCUAGGUCGCAUCUCAGUUGAGGGAUUCCAAAUUCUGGCACAAUGUCGAUGUCUAAAAGUUCGAAGAUGCUCCAGUAUAUUAAUUACCGGAUGAGGGUCACCAUCCAAGAUGGUCGCCAAUUGGUUGGCAAGUUCAUGGCCUUCGAUCGGCACAUGAACCUCGUCCUCGGCGACUGCGAGGAGUUCCGUAAGCUUCCUCCAGCUAAGGGUAAAAAGACUAAUGAGGAACGCGACGAGCGUCGUACCCUUGGGCUUGUUCUUCUUCGCGGCGAGGAGGUCAUUUCCAUGACUGUUGAGGGUCCACCACCUGCUGAAGAGUCCCGUGCUAAGGCCGUCAAUGCUGCGGCUAUGGCUGGGCCUGGUAUUGGUCGUGCCGCUGGGAGGGGUAUCCCGACUGCUCCUCUUGUUCAGGCUCAGCCUGGUCUUGCUGGGCCAGUUCGUGGAGUAGGUGGACCCGCUCCGGGGAUGAUGCAGCCUCAAAUCUCUCGCCCGCCAGUACCACAGCUGUCCGCUCCGCCCAUGACAUAUCCAGCUGCCCCCGUUAUCCGUCCACCUGGUCAGAUGCCGAUGUUUCCAGGACAAGCUCCACCUCCGGUUGGGAGAGGAAUGCCUCCGCCGGGGCCUCCGCCACAGUUCUCUGCAGCAAGACCAGGGGGAGCUCCGCCACAACCAUUCCCAGUUCCUCCUCAAUUUGCUCAGAGACCCAUGGGACCUCCACCAACCGGGCAGGUGAUGAGGGGACCGCCACCCCCACCCAGACCUGGAAUGCCAGCGCCCCCGCCUCGACCGGGGAUGCCUCCUCCACCCGGUGGGGCAGUUCCUAUUUACGGACCACCUCGUCCUGGCAUGCCGCCUCCACCCGCCCCACAAAAUCAGCAGCAAAAUCAACAGCAAUAGUGUUGGAGUUACGAUACUGUUGUUACUGGUUCUCUUGCACCUCUAUAGUUCCUCAUGGCAGACAUAUUCAUGUGAUGAUAUGUGGAGGCCUUCAUUGGAUAUUAUCUUGUGUUGUUUCGACCUGAGUUCACUUGCCAGGGGCUACAGCUUGGUUCAUCUCCCUGGGUGCCAUCUCUCUUUGAAUUUGUGUUGAUGCUGUUGUAGGAUUCGACAAUGUAGUGUUAUUAGCAAACUGUGUCCUGAUUUUGCAAUUUAACCGUCAGAUAUACUUCGAGUGCAGGAUUUUAAUGUGAAUUAUCAAUUCCCGAUCGACAUGUUUCUAGGUAGAUUCGCUUGUCCCCUUUACUUUUUAAUGUGUUCGGCAUUAUAUAGUGAUUACUUAAGGACCUAAAGUCUGAAUAGUACGAACUAAAGGUUCUGUAUUUUGGAACCUCUCUUCUGUUAAAAGGAGAUAAUCUAUAUAUUUUUGUGCGUGCA
Molecule: RNA transcript, 1482 nt
Organism: Cucurbita moschata (crookneck pumpkin)
Lineage: Eukaryota; Viridiplantae; Streptophyta; Magnoliopsida; Cucurbitales; Cucurbitaceae
Gene name: small nuclear ribonucleoprotein-associated protein B'-like
Exons: 3
Source: RefSeq, a predicted model, not a curated record